AGUGAACGCUGGCGGUAGGCCUAACACAUACAAGUCGAACGGCAGCACAGUAAGAGCUUGCUCUUACGGGUGGCGAGUGGCGGACGGGUGAGGAAUACAUCGGAAUCUACUUUUUCGUGGGGGAUAACGUAGGGAAACUUACGCUAAUACCGCAUACGACCUACGGGUGAAAGCAGGGGAUCUUCGGACCUUGCGCGAUUGAAUGAGCCGAUGUCGGAUUAGCUAGUUGGCGGGGUAAAGGCCCACCAAGGCGACGAUCCGUAGCUGGUCUGAGAGGAUGAUCAGCCACACUGGAACUGAGACACGGUCCAGACUCCUACGGGAGGCAGCAGUGGGGAAUAUUGGACAAUGGGCGCAAGCCUGAUCCAGCCAUACCGCGUGGGUGAAGAAGGCCUUCGGGUUGUAAAGCCCUUUUGUUGGGGAAGAAAAGCAGCAGGUUAAUACCCCGCUGUUCUGACGGUACCCAAAGAAUAAGCACCGGCUAACUUCGUG
RNAcentral lists this ribosomal RNA (492 nucleotides) under uncultured bacterium. RNAcentral describes it as "partial 16S ribosomal RNA". It matches the Rfam family "Bacterial small subunit ribosomal RNA", at positions 29 to 507 of the family's 1533-position model. The record is from RNAcentral.